Molecule: long non-coding RNA, 582 nt
Filed under: Vulpes vulpes (red fox)
Lineage: Eukaryota; Metazoa; Chordata; Mammalia; Carnivora; Canidae
Description: lncRNA (ENSVVUG00000000167.1)
Source: RNAcentral
CUUUUUUUUAAAGGAUGGAAAUUAUAGAUGAAUUCAGUAAAUUUAGGAACUUUUGUUAAUCUAUAGGCACCCUGAGUGAAAUGACAUGCCAACGUGGAAGAUAUUUUCCACAAAUAUCACUCACAAAAAAAUCCAGAGGGAAUACUCAUGAAACAUAAGCUUUUCCUUUAGAAGAAUUUAGAAGUAACGCUGUGAAUAUGACAUUUACCCAAAAGAAAAAUGGCCAAGUCAGUUGAGAAUAACCUUAUAAUGUGUUCAUGGAUUCCAAAUUCAACUCUCAGAACAAAACCCUCUGGCUUUUGAAGAGUGAGUCUCGCUUUGUGUGUGACAGUGUUUUCAACUUUCCAUUACUAUAUAAAGCAUCUGAAAUGAAUUUCAGUUUCCUCCAUAUUAUUCUAUCACUCCAGCUCAGGUUCAGUGGAAAGAAAAUCACAUUAAGGUAUGAAUAUCAGGUUUUCAGUUCAUUGAGGAUCAAUAUUUGGAGAAGAGUUAUGUGAUGCCUUCUGGAAGCCAUGAGUACUAUAGAAACAAGAUGGGAAGGAUUGAAAUAAAUAGUGAGAAGCCUUGCUUUCCCUAGAAGGC